Molecule: long non-coding RNA, 2571 nt
Filed under: Olea europaea (common olive)
Lineage: Eukaryota; Viridiplantae; Streptophyta; Magnoliopsida; Lamiales; Oleaceae
Description: long non-coding RNA (OEUR_LNC015212)
Source: RNAcentral
UUAUAUGCUUGCUCAUAAUAAUCCUCAGUAGUUUUAGAAAACAUAAUAACAAAGUUGGGAAAAAAUGAGAAUAUUGCAUAUAGAUGAGAAACUUUCUUUAAAUGAGGUAUGCACUUUCUUUAAAUGAGGUAUCUGAUUCUACCAAUUUGUCAUCUGUAUGAAUGAUCUUAUAUUAACAUGUGUUAAGAAAGAAGAAAAAAUGAUACACUACACAAAUUAAACAAAAUAAAUAAAUCAUAUUCAUAAAUCUAUAAAACGUGAUCUUUUCACCAUGAAAAGCAAUAUGGUCCAACCUGAUGUAGAAGCAACCGACGACUUCAAACUUGCUAAAGCGAUCAUAAGCACCAAAGCCAGUGGAAAGAUCUGUUUGAAGAACUUCUUAAUUGAACCAUCUAAUAUUUGCCAUAAAGGUGUGUAAAGCUUUUACUUUCAAAGACAUGUUUUCGCACGUUGUUUAUGGAGGAAUCUGAUAAAGCCAUCAUAGUGAGAAGGGUGCUUUUGGGUUUUGUGGAAUCUAAUAAUGAAAUUAAGGAACUUUCCAAAGACUUACCUAGCCCCCCAAAUGUUAGAAUUGAAGAGAUGUUCCUUCAGUGAAGGUACAUUAGGAGAUACUAUAAUAUGACUACCUUCGUUGAGGUAUUUAUAGGUUCAGGGAUACACUAAAUCUAGAGCUGAUUGGGAUAAGGUACAUAAGAAGAGUCUAAAAUGGAUUACUAAGUUCAUUCUAGCAGAAAAAGUCUCCACCAUUCCUAAUGAAAAUGGAGAAGAUGCAACCAUUGAGAUUAAAACCCCAAAUUCUAGCUUAUUAUUCACUUGCUGAUUGGAGAACUGAUUUUCCAUCUACAGUUGUGCCCUUUAUACCCAAUGUUACAAUCGAUGAGUAAAUGUGUGUACCUUUGAGGUCCCUUCAUGUAAAUGAAAUUCCUUACCAGCUGAGAUACUUUCUGUUAUGAGUUUAGUGUGAUGAGUUUGCUUUCUUAGCUGAUAGGAAAGCAAUUGCGCCAUUGCCACUCUACUUUUCAUUUGUAUAGAAUUUUGAUGUGUUGGAGUCAUUUGAUGUCUGGUAAUGCAUAGAACCAUGGACUGGUGCAGUAAAAUUUUAGCUGCUAAUGAACACUUGUGUAGUUUUAACGGGUCAACUGAACAUUUGUUGUGAUCCAAUAUUUUGUCAAGGAUGAAGGUUUUCUUAUUGUUACAUUUCUACAAAGUAUUGGCUAGCAUAUGCUCUAACAAAACCUAUUGCCCCACAGCUAUUUUUGUUUCUUCCUCUAUCCAAGCUCUGUAUCUUCCCCAACCAAGAAUUUUGUAAAAAUUUUGACAACAAAGAACACAUUAAAAAAUUGAAACACAGAGGCUACGAUUUCGUUUUCCCUAAAAUAUUUAAAAUUUGAUGUCGUUUUCCUUCAUUUUCAUUUUAUUUUGAUUUCUUUCGUAGGCUACUCAGACAAAACAAAACUGAAUAAUUUGAAUGCAAAUUCUGCUAGACGAAAUUUGAAAUUGAGAAAGAAUGAAUGUGAAUGAAGCCUCUCUGCUAGAAGAAGACUCGAGAUCUAACAUCUGCAAAUGUGCUUCACCACUUCCACACUUGCGGUACUCUUUUUGUUAAUUUCUUUGACUAUUUCAAUUGUUGGCUUCCUGUGUAAUUAUUCUAUACUAUGAUUUUGGUAAUUCGUUGUAUAUGAAAAUUGGGAUCAUUUGCAUCUGGUUUCUUUUUCCUUUUGUUUGCUUUUUAAUUAAUUUCUAAUCCGGUGAUUUCAAUGGCACUGAAAAGUUAUUCUGCAGUUUAGUGGAGAAAUCCAUGUCUUCUAAGUUUCUGUAUGUCGACGCUUCACGCAAUCACUAUAAAGGUUUAGUUUUUGUCAGCAAUUUAGGAUAUGGUAGGUGUUGUGUGAUGAAUGUGAAGGAAAUAGAUCUAUUAGCAUCAGACACUGUAGUUGAUUCCACAACUGUGGAAAGCAUGAGUGGAUCUAUUCAAAUGAAAUUUUAUAGAAAGGAUAAACCACAUUAUUUUUAUGAAGUUUCUAUGAAAUAAUUCUAGGUAUCCUUAGAAAAGUAGUUCUCUAACAACAAAGAAUUAAUAUAACCAAAUUUUUUUAAUAUAUAUUUAUAACACCUUUCAAUGUGUACAUAAUAUUGAUUUCUUGAAUACAAUCAGCGAUCCUUGGUUCGUAAGACUUGAAGAGCAUGGUUGGAUGCUUAAUUAACUCAUCCUUUGUUAACAAUCCAUUAUUCAGGAUGAUAUCAUUCUUGGAGCAAACACACAAAACACCUAAGGACCCAUUGUUGCGAAUAAGAAUUGCAAGAAAAUUCUAUAUUCUUGUGAAUUUGAUAUAUGAUUUAUUUUCCCCUUCUGGUGCUCUAGCAUUUUGUCUCUUGGGGGUAACGGUGUGAAAAAUGAUUGUUUAAUAGAAUGCCUUCAUUUGAUUCCAUAUAGGACAGUUGAGUUGGAGCAAGAGAUUAAAAACUUGAAAAAGAAGUUGGCUACUGCACAAGAGAAAAUAGAAGUCUUCAAAAAGAGCUAUCAGAGGCUUAUAAUAUUAUAUUAAAGUUAGAACUACUAAUAUCUCUUUA